RNAcentral lists this long non-coding RNA (2083 nucleotides) under Helianthus annuus (common sunflower). RNAcentral describes it as "hypothetical non coding rna". The record is from RNAcentral. Lineage: Eukaryota; Viridiplantae; Streptophyta; Magnoliopsida; Asterales; Asteraceae.
UAGAAUUACUAAAGUUAUUUUUUCUCAGAAUAAGAAUCCUUAAAUUUGACAGUUCACCAAGAAAUUCAGGAAUCCUGCCUGACAAGUGAUUGUCGCCUAUAUCUAAAGUUAAAGCAUUACUCAAGUUCCAGAAGGAACCAGGAAUUGGUCCUGUAAAUUUGUUCGAACUCAAAUGGAGAUGCUUCAAACCUUGGAAAUUUAAGCACGAUGGGAUAGGUCCUGAAAAAUAAUUUUUUGAUAUAUCAAGAAACGUGAAUGGAGCUGUUCCACAAGAAAACGAACCUCCCAAGCUAUUAUUUCUUAUCACAAGUUCCCUCAUGUAAGGCAAGUCACUUAUCCAAACAGGGACCAAACCGGUAAAAAGGUUAUUGCUAAUAUCCAAAAGACUUAUUCUACCAGUGGAAGUUAUUGCUAUUAUUUCGUCACUUGUUUCACUUCCAAUUUUCCCGGUGAAAGAGUUGCUAUCUAAGUGAAGCCGGUCAAUGUUAUACCAAUUUAAGUUUCUUGAAAGUACCUCGCCAUGAAAAGUGUUGUUUGAUAGUUUUAAUAUCUCCAAAUUAGGGAGGUUUGUGAACAAUUCAAUUGGUACUUCCCCAGACAAGGCAUUAUGAGAUAGAUCCAGGUGUUCUAGCAAACUCAAAUCACCAACUGAAGACGGGAUUACACCAUGUAAAGAAUUUCUGGAUAAAUUCAACCGAGUUAUAUGGGGAAGGUACUUUUGUAUAUCUCUAGGAAUAUCACCUAUAAUGUCAUUGUCGGACACAUCCAAUUUCUGUGUAUUCCUAUUCGUAUAAAACGCCAAAGAAAACUUGCCGCCAAAUGAAUUGUUUCUCAGACUAAGAACUUCCAGCAUUGUGUUAUUUUUAAUUAACCAAUUUGGAAAUUGUCCCUUUAAAGAGUUGUGUGACAUGUCUAGUUCCUGUAAUUCAUUCUGAUGAAGUAGAAAGCCAGGAACUACACUUCCUUUCUGCCUAUUUAAGUUGCAAUUUGACAGUAUAAGAACUUUCAACCUGAACAUUGGAGUCCAACCUAUAGGCUCCUCUGUUUCCACCGUUAACGUGUCAUUCUCAUUUAUGAAUGCAACAACCUCAAGGUUUUUGUUACUUGAGAAUGAGCUGAAUGAGAACGAACCUUCAAAUUUGUUAUGGCUAAAAUCUAUGUACUUGAGAGAUUUGAGAUUAGCAAUAACCGACGGCAGAAUUACUCCGGUGAAUCGAUUUGAAGAAAUAUCAAACAACGUAAGAGACGACAGCUUAUUGAAACAUUCAAAUAAUUUUCCAUCAAACAUGUUGUGACUAAGAUCGAGCUCUUUGAGGUUCUUUAAUUCCAACAAUCCUGUCAAAAUAGAAGAUUCGUUGUUAGUUCACCCUUUAAAAGUAAAAAUGACUUGCACUUGCACGGUCAUUCAAAGUUAGAAAGAUUAACCAAGUAUAGGGCAAUGAAAUUGUAACAAAGUAUUUGCAAAAAAAAAAAAUAUUUUAGAGAACAUACCAUGAUUGGAUAACGACCCGUUUAGAUUAUUGUGAGCGAACGAGACAACUUCAAGAGAAUAUAAUAACUUUAUUGUUGAUGGGAUGCUUCCAACAAAAUUGUUGUAACUCAAAUCUAAGGCCUUCAGAUGGUGAAAAUAUUUCAAAUCUGAAUAAAUGACAAUAAGAGAGCAUCCUUGUAUAGUUUAUUAAAUAGACUGGAAUUUUGAUACGAGACAAAAUAUCAUGGUUAUGCAUAACUUGACUAAUUGUACUGAACCAUCUAGGGCACAUCUAAAAUUCUUAUUUCACUUACUUUUUUUUUUAUUGUGAACUUAUUAGUGUGAUAUUUGUUUCAACAUCAGAUCAAAACAUGUUUGGUAAGCACUUAUUUUUAUGUCUAUAAAAGAAGAAAUGUCCGGGUUUCGGGAUCAAAACCGUGAUUUUCAUGAUUAUGUUCAAAGAUGGAAGAGCUAGAGAUGAUAAACAAACAAACUUUGUAUUAAUCCAGUAGUAAAACAUUACAAGUCGGCCCGAUUACAUGAUAACCGAACUAAUACCAAAGAAGUAUACAUCCAGGGAGAAAUCAAGUGGUGAUUUCUCCCGGUGAGGUC